Molecule: small nuclear RNA, 203 nt
Filed under: Nestor notabilis (Kea)
Lineage: Eukaryota; Metazoa; Chordata; Aves; Psittaciformes; Psittacidae
Description: 7SK RNA
Rfam family: 7SK RNA
About the family: 7SK was discovered as an abundant small nuclear RNA in the mid-70s but a possible function has only recently been suggested.
Source: Rfam by way of RNAcentral
ACAUGUGAGGACAAUAUGGCUGUGACACCUGUCACCCUAUUGAUCACUAGGGUUUAUUCAGUUGAUCAACUGGCUGGCUAGGUACAUGUCCCCUUCCUCCCUCACUGCUCCACAUGCAUCCCUCCCAAAGCUCCACUCUCAGUCAAAGAGGACAAACUUCCCCGAUACACGCAGUACCUUUCAUCGGUCACGGUCAUACAGUA